Molecule: long non-coding RNA, 665 nt
Organism: Physeter macrocephalus (sperm whale)
Lineage: Eukaryota; Metazoa; Chordata; Mammalia; Artiodactyla; Physeteridae
Exons: 3
Source: RefSeq, a predicted model, not a curated record
GGCUGGGUGGCGGGCGCGCGUGGCCGGCCCGUUUGAAAGCCGUGGGGGUAGAGGCUGUUCUGCACACAGCCACCCGGAGGCCCAGGCCACGGACAGUCUCAGAGCCGGCUAUCCCGGCCCGUCUCCGCGGUAACCGGCUGGCUGCAGAGGGCUGUGGGAAGUGUAGUUGGGCGGGGCCGGCCCGUGCGCAAGGUCUCUGCCUUUAGAGCUCGCUGCCGCUGUCAAGAGCGAUUUUCCGGCGUCCGGGCGAGCUCCUCCCGCUUUAUCUCGACCUCCGAGCACCCCGACAGGUGGGCAGCCGCCCAGAAAGAACGUUUCUGAAAUUAAGCUCAUGAGGAGUUUCUUUGAAAUGUAACCCUCCCACAGCACAAGUGAGCCUCCUUGGGAACUUCUCCAGUCAAGAAUGACCCUAGCAAUGAUGGGGGCUGUGUCCUUGGCCCUCCAGAUCCAGUCCCUUAGACCAGCAUCAGGGAACUUCCCAGAGGGGAGGCCGAGGAGCUGCCCUGCCCCAGAGAAGAGUUUCAAGCAGGAGAGAGAAGAGAGAAGUUGGGAAGGUGACCAGAGUGACCAGAACUGCCGGCCAGGGUCCAGUCUGGGCUCCUUCUGAGGGCCCUGGGUGACCUGGUCCCUCCUCGCCUCCCUCCGUGUCUCGCACUGGUUUCCUC